GUGUCAGCAGCCGCGGUAAGACGGAGGGAGCAAGCGUUGUCCGGAAUCACUGGGCGUAAAGAGCUCGUAGGCGGGAAUCUAAGUCCGGAAGUAAAUCCAUCGGCUCAACCGGUGGCUCAUUCUGGAUACUGGAUUUCUUGAGGACAGGAGGGGAAAGGGGAAUUCCUGGUGUAGCGGUGAAAUGCGUAGAUAUCAGGAGGAACACCUGUGGCGAAGGCGCCUUUCUGGACUGAUCCUGACGCUGAGGAGCGAAAGCCAGGGGAGCGAACGGGAUUAGAUACCCCGGUAGUCCUGGCUGUAAACGAUGGAUACUAGGUGUAGGGGGUAUCGACCCCCUCUGUGCCGCAGCUAACGCAAUAAGUAUCCCGCCUGGGGAGUACGGCCGCAAGGUUGAA
This 395-nucleotide ribosomal RNA is filed under the name uncultured bacterium. RNAcentral's name for it is "bacterial SSU rRNA". It matches the Rfam family "Bacterial small subunit ribosomal RNA", at positions 505 to 898 of the family's 1533-position model. The record is from RNAcentral.